Molecule: ribosomal RNA, 460 nt
Filed under: uncultured bacterium
Lineage: Bacteria
Description: bacterial SSU rRNA
Rfam family: Bacterial small subunit ribosomal RNA
Source: RNAcentral
GUGGCGAACGGGUGAGUAAUGUAUGGACAACCUGCCCUCGAGUCUGGGAUAACAGCGGGAAACUGCUGCUAAUACCGGAUGGCCCCGGUAGGAGGUACUCCGGCCGGGUAAAGGUGGUCACACCGCUCGAGGAGGGGUCCAUAUCCCAUCAGCUUGUUGGUGAGGUAACGGCUCACCAAGGCGACGACGGGUAGCCGGACUGAGAGGUCGACCGGCCACAUCGGGACUGAGACACUGCCCGGACUCCUACGGGAGGCUGCAGUCGAGAAUCUUCCGCAAUGGGCGCAAGCCUGACGGAGCGACGCCGCGUGGAGGACGAAGGCCUUCGGGUUGUAAACUCCUGUCACUCGCGAAGAACGCCCAGGGUAGCCCCCGGGGCUGACGUUAGCGAGAGAGGAAGCCACGGCUAACUUCGUGCCAGCAGCCGCGGUAAGACGAAGGUGGCAACCGUUGCUCGGAU